This is a transfer RNA of Camelus ferus (Wild Bactrian camel), 72 nucleotides long. It matches the Rfam family "tRNA". Rfam says of the family: Transfer RNA (tRNA) molecules are approximately 80 nucleotides in length. Their secondary structure includes four short double-helical elements and three loops (D, anti-codon, and T loops). The record is from Rfam. NCBI's taxonomy places the organism in Eukaryota, Metazoa, Chordata, Mammalia, Artiodactyla, Camelidae.
GAGGGUAUAGUUAAGUGGUAGAGCGCAAGCUUAGCAUGUGAGAGGUCCUGGGUUCAACCCCCAGUAUCUCCA